This 1051-nucleotide ribosomal RNA is filed under the name uncultured bacterium. RNAcentral's name for it is "bacterial SSU rRNA". It matches the Rfam family "Bacterial small subunit ribosomal RNA", at positions 1 to 1014 of the family's 1533-position model. The record is from RNAcentral.
AUUAGAGUUUGAUCAUGGCUCAUAACGAACGCUGGCGGCGUGCCUAACACAUGCAAGUCGAACGAGAAGUACCGUAGCAAUACGGUAUUGUAAAGUGGCGCACGGGUGAGUAACACGUGGGUAAUCUGCCCUUGAGUUUGGGAUAACCCCGCGAAAGCGGGGCUAAUACCGAAUAAGACCACGGGGACCAAAGUCCCUGAGGUAAAAGACGGCCUCUAUUUAUAAGCUGUCACUUGAGGAUGAGCCCGCGGCCCAUUAGCUAGUUGGCAGGGUAACGGCCUACCAAGGCGAUGAUGGGUAGCUGGUCUGAGAGGACGAUCAGCCACACUGGAACUGAGACACGGUCCAGACUCCUACGGGAGGCAGCAGUGGGGAAUAUUGCGCAAUGGGCGAAAGCCUGACGCAUCAACGCCGCGUGGGGGAUGAAGGUUCUCGGAUUGUAAACCCCUUUCGAUCGGAACGAAUCUCCUCUUGGUAAAUAAUCAGGAGGAUCGACGGUACCGGGAGAAGAAGCCACGGCUAACUCUGUGCCAGCAGCCGCGGUAAGACAGAGGUGGCGAGCGUUGUUCGGAUUUAUUGGGCGUAAAGCGAACGCAGGUGGUUUGGUAAGUCAGAGGUGAAAGACCACAGCUUAACUGUGGCACUGCCUUUGAUACUGCCUUUCUAGAGUGCAUGAGGGGGAAGCGGAAUUCCGAGUGUAGAGGUGAAAUUCGUAGAUAUUCGGAGGAACACCGGUGGCGAAGGCGGCUUCCUGGCAUGUAACUGACACUCAUGUUCGAAAGCGUGGGUAGCAAACAGGAUUAGAUACCCUGGUAGUCCACGCCCUAAACGAUGGGCACUAAGUGUGGGAGGUAUCGACCCCUUCCGUGCCGCACUUAACGCAUUUAAGUGCCCCACCUGGGGAGUACGGCCGCAAGGCUUGAAACUCAAAAGGAAAUUGACGCGGGGCCCGCACUAGCGGUGGUGCAUGUUGGUUUUAAUCUCGACGCAACGCGAAUAACCCUUACCUAGGCUUGACAUCCCUUGGAAACCUCCCGGGUAUACGGGGGGG